CCGUGUACGUACAAGCAGUGGGAGCCUCUUAAUGGGGUGACUGCGUACCUUUUGUAUAAUGGGUCAGCGACUUAUAUUCUGUAGCAAGGUUAACCGAAUAGGGGAGCCGAAGGGAAACCGAGUCUUAACUGGGCGUUAAGUUGCAGGGUAUAGACCCGAAACCCGGUGAUCUAGCCAUGGGCAGGUUGAAGGUUGGGUAACACUAACUGGAGGACCGAACCGACUAAUGUUGAAAAAUUAGCGGAUGACUUGUGGCUGGGGGUGAAAGGCCAAUCAAACCGGGAGAUAGCUGGUUCUCCCCGAAAGCUAUUUAGGUAGCGCCUCGUGAAUUCAUCUCCGGGGGUAGAGCACUGUUUCGGCAAGGGGGUCAUCCCGACUUACCAACCCGAUGCAAACUGCGAAUACCGGAGAAUGUUAUCACGGGAGACACACGGCGGGUGCUAACGUCCGUCGUGAAGAGGGAAACAACCCAGACCGCCAGCUAAGGUCCCAAAGUCAUGGUUAAGUGGGAAACGAUGUGGGAAGGCCCAGACAGCCAGGAUGUUGGCUUAGAAGCAGCCAUCAUUUAAAGAAAGCGUAAUAGCUCACUGGUCGAGUCGGCCUGCGCGGAAGAUGUAACGGGGCUAAACCAUGCACCGAAGCUGCGGCAGCGACGCUUAUGCGUUGUUGGGUAGGGGAGCGUUCUGUAAGCCUGUGAAGGUGGCCUGUGAGGGUUGCUGGAGGUAUCAGAAGUGCGAAUGCUGACAUAAGUAACGAUAAAGCGGGUGAAAAGCCCGCUCGCCGGAAGACCAAGGGUUCCUGUCCAACGUUAAUCGGGGCAGGGUGAGUCGACCCCUAAGGCGAGGCCGAAAGGCGUAGUCGAUGGGAAACAGGUUAAUAUUCCUGUACUUGGUGUUACUGCGAAGGGGGGACGGAGAAGGCUAUGUUGGCCGGGCGACGGUUGUCCCGGUUUAAGCGUGUAGGCUGGUUUUCCAGGCAAAUCCGGAAAAUCAAGGCUGAGGCGUGAUGACGAGGCACUACGGUGCUGAAGCGACAAAUGCCCUGCUUCCAGGAAAAGCCUCUAAGCAUCAGGUAACAUUAAAUCGUACCCCAAACCGACACAGGUGGUCAGGUAGAGAAUACCAAGGCGCUUGAGAGAACUCGGGUGAAGGAACUAGGCAAAAUGGUGCCGUAACUUCGGGAGAAGGCACGCUGAUAUGUAGGUGAAGCGACUUGCUCGUGGAGCUGAAAUCAGUCGAAGAUACCAGCUGGCUGCAACUGUUUAUUAAAAACACAGCACUGUGCAAACACGAAAGUGGACGUAUACGGUGUGACGCCUGCCCGGUGCCGGAAGGUUAAUUGAUGGGGUUAGCGGUAACGCGAAGCUCUUGAUCGAAGCCCCGGUAAACGGCGGCCGUAACUAUAACGGUCCUAAGGUAGCGAAAUUCCUUGUCGGGU
Molecule: ribosomal RNA, 1437 nt
Filed under: human gut metagenome
Description: bacterial LSU rRNA
Rfam family: Bacterial large subunit ribosomal RNA
Source: RNAcentral